This 235-nucleotide long non-coding RNA is filed under the name Arabidopsis lyrata. RNAcentral describes it as "long non-coding RNA (ALYR_LNC000634)". The record is from RNAcentral. Lineage: Eukaryota; Viridiplantae; Streptophyta; Magnoliopsida; Brassicales; Brassicaceae.
CCACUUGUGCAAGAACGAUAUAAUAAUAAAUUACAAGCAAACAUAUCUUAAUAAACUCAUCACUACCUCCAAGGGGCAUUGAGACCAUAACAUGUUACAUGAGGAAAAGAAAACCUUUGUACUGACUAAAAGAUCACUUAAAUCCAUUGUCACGGCCGUUGUCACCACUAUUACCACCGCUACCCGCAUGAUCGUUUCCAUUGUUGCCAUCAACAAUCGUGUGAUAAUGGUGAAG